GUGAGGAAUAUUGGACAAUGGAUGGAAAUCUGAUCCAGCCAUGCCGCGUGCAGGAAGACGGCCCUAUGGGUUGUAAACUGCUUUUAUACGGGAGCAAUAAGGUCUAUGCAUAGAUUGAUGAGAGUACCGUAUGAAUAAGCAUCGGCUAACUCCGUGCCAGCAGCCGCGGUAAUACGGAGGAUGCGAGCGUUAUCCGGAUUUAUUGGGUUUAAAGGGUGCGUAGGCGGCUUUGUAAGUCAGCGGUGAAAUUUUGCAGCUUAACUGUAAAAGCGCCGUUGAUACUGUGAAGCUAGGAUUAGGUUGCUGUGGGCGGAAUGUGUGGUGUAGCGGUGAAAUGCAUAGAGAUCACACAGAAUAUCGAUUGCGAAGGCAGCUCACAAAGCCAAUAUUGACGCUGAGGCACGAAAGUGUGGGGAUCAAACAGGAUUAGAUACCCCGGUAGUCC
Molecule: ribosomal RNA, 445 nt
Filed under: uncultured bacterium
Lineage: Bacteria
Description: partial 16S ribosomal RNA
Rfam family: Bacterial small subunit ribosomal RNA
Source: RNAcentral